This 497-nucleotide ribosomal RNA is filed under the name uncultured bacterium. RNAcentral describes it as "partial 16S ribosomal RNA". It matches the Rfam family "Bacterial small subunit ribosomal RNA", at positions 28 to 507 of the family's 1533-position model. The record is from RNAcentral.
GAUGAACGCUGGCGGCGUGCCUAAUACAUGCAAGUCGAGCGAACAGACGAGGAACUUGCUCCUCUGACGUUAGCGGCGGACGGGUGAGUAACACGUGGAUAACCUACCUAUAAGACUGGGAUAACUUCGGGAAACCGGAGCUAAUACCGGAUAAUAUAUUGAACCGCAUGGUUCAAUAGUGAAAGACGGUUUUGCUGUCACUUAUAGAUGGAUCCGCGCCGCAUUAGCUAGUUGGUAAGGUAACGGCUUACCAAGGCAACGAUGCGUAGCCGACCUGAGAGGGUGAUCGGCCACACUGGAACUGAGACACGGUACAGACUCCUACGGGAGGCAGCAGUAGGGAAUCUUCCGCAAUGGGCGAAAGCUUGACGGAGCAACGCCGCGUGAGUGAUGAAGGUCUUCGGAUCGUAAAACUCUGUUAUUAGGGAAGAACAAAUGUGUAAGUAACUAUGCACGUCUUGACGGUACCUAAUCAGAAAGCCACGGCUAACUACGUG